Molecule: ribosomal RNA, 274 nt
Filed under: uncultured bacterium
Lineage: Bacteria
Description: partial 16S ribosomal RNA
Rfam family: Bacterial small subunit ribosomal RNA
Source: RNAcentral
CUACGAAGGGGGCUAGCGUUGUUCGGAAUUACUGGGCGUAAAGCGCGCGCAGGCGGAUUGGUCAGUUAGGGGUGAAAUCCCAGGGCUUAACCCUGGAACUGCCUCUAAUACUGCCAGUCUUGAGUUCGGGAGAGGUGAGUGGAAUUCCUAGUGUAGAGGUGAAAUUCGUAGAUAUUAGGAAGAACACCAGUGGCGAAGGCGGCUCACUGGCCCGAUACUGACGCUGAGGCGCGAAAGCGUGGGGAGCAAACAGGAUUAGAUACCCUAGUAGUCC